RNAcentral lists this ribosomal RNA (478 nucleotides) under uncultured bacterium. Its description in RNAcentral is "bacterial SSU rRNA". It matches the Rfam family "Bacterial small subunit ribosomal RNA", at positions 335 to 803 of the family's 1533-position model. The record is from RNAcentral.
ACUCCUACGGGAGGCAGCAGUAGGGAAUUUUCCGCAAUGGACGAAAGUCUGACGGAGCAAUGCCGCGUGAGUGAUGAAGGUUUUCGAAUCGUAAAGCUCUGUUGUAAGGGAAGAAUAGCAAGGAUAGGAAAUGCUCCUUGUCUGACGGUACCUUACCAGAAAGCCACGGCUAACUACGUGCCAGCAGCCGCGGUAAUACGGAGGGUGCAAGCGUUACUCGGAAUCACUGGGCGUAAAGAGCGUGUAGGCGGGUUAUUAAGUCAGAAGUGAAAUCCUAUGGCUCAACCAUAGAACUGCUUUUUGAAACUGGUAACCUAGAGUAUGGGAGAGGGUAGAUGGAAUUUCUGGUGUAGGGGUAAAAUCCAGUAGAGAUCAGAAGGAAUACCGAUUGCGAAGGCGAUCUACUGGAACAUUACUGACGCUGAGACGCGAAAGCGUGGGGGAGCAAACAGGAUUAGAUACCCUGGUAGACUGUCAU